CCUCAGGGGCGUUUCCGGAAGCUCUGCGAUCAGCUUCUCGGCGGCGUCUAGGGGGAGAUACUUCCAUCCAUCGGAAGUUCGCAGCUGCAGCUCUUCAAUCAGCAACAGGUAUGGCUUCAAACCUUCGUCCGUGCGUGGCAUCUGAUUGUUCAUGUGAGCUUGGAGCUGCAUCGCAUACCUCGACUCGGCCAGAGAUCCAUAUAUCUUAUUUGUCUCGUGCCUGAGCAUGCUAGACCGCAUUUCAUCCCUGGUCAGCAGCUUCGCGAGCAUAUCAGCCGCCUUGCGCGUGAGCUGCAAGCUUGAAGCUACCUUGCAUAGCAUCUCUAGUCCCGGUGGCGAGCUCAGCUCCUCGAUGUUGUCUGCCGGGGAUCUUCCUAUCAGAUUCUCGAGCCACCUCUCAAUCGACCACGCAGACAGCAGCACCGGUCUCACGAUGCUGGUACUUCCGGUGCUGCUGUUAUUGCUCGAGUGUGAAAACUUGCAUCUUAAUCCAUUUCGGCAGUAGCCACGCUGGAAAAACUUGCAUGGUCCUGCCUGACUGGAAGGCUCUGCAGGAGCAAGACCCGUCGCCAUUGCUUUCUCUCGCACCGAAAACCUUGGCACGGCCUGGCUCGCAGACAUGUCCCCGAGUGCUAGUUUCAGGUCCUCGUCCGUCUCGACUGUGAUUGUUUCUCCUUCCGAGUCGCCGUAGCUGAUGACGAUGCCGCUCGCGCUCUUCAGCUCGCUGAAAGUUUUCUUGAUGGUUUCCACCAGAGCCUGCAUGCUUAGCUGCAACGUAACCAUCACUAAUCUGAUGCUUUCGUUGUGACACAGCUUCAAACGAAAAGCACGACUGCAAGGUUCUUCCUGGAUUCACAAGGCGAAAAGAAAAAAAGGAAGGGUAUGGAUUAGAGAGAGAGUUUUUUCUUGCUUACCAUGGUUUCUUGCAGAGCAGCUGCCGCAUGUCGAUCACUUCCUCUCCUUCCGCUUGCCAUGGCGUCUCGAUUCCAAAGGCUUCCAAGACUGUGAUCACAGCGUUUUAUCUCCUAAACGGCCUCCCGCCCGCUUUCAUUACGGUUCACUGGCAUUUAUUUUAUAGAUGAUCACGCUUGAGGCUUUAUUCGCUGAAUUCUUUAUUUGAGGCCAACUCAGUAUUCCAUUAGAGCCCUUCACUUUAGGUUCUCUUUGCCCAAAGUCCCUCCCAAAGUUAAUAUGGGCGGCAGAUGUGAUUCUGGCUUUACAUCUGUUUUAUUCCA
RNAcentral lists this long non-coding RNA (1235 nucleotides) under Selaginella moellendorffii. RNAcentral's name for it is "long non-coding RNA (SMOE_LNC001477)". The record is from RNAcentral. Lineage: Eukaryota; Viridiplantae; Streptophyta; Lycopodiopsida; Selaginellales; Selaginellaceae.